GCCUGGGUGGCUCAGUUGGUUAAGCGUCCGACUUCGGCUCAGGUCAUGAUCUCACGGUUCGUGGGUUCGAGCCCCACGUCGGGCU
This 85-nucleotide transfer RNA is filed under the name Felis catus (domestic cat). It matches the Rfam family "tRNA". From Rfam's summary of the family: Transfer RNA (tRNA) molecules are approximately 80 nucleotides in length. Lineage: Eukaryota; Metazoa; Chordata; Mammalia; Carnivora; Felidae. RNAcentral also lists the same sequence under 1 other name. The record is from Rfam by way of RNAcentral.